AGGUCCAGCCUGCCCAGUGAUAAAUUCAACGGCCGCGGUAUCCUAACCGUGCGAAGGUAGCAUAAUCACUUGUUCUUUAAAUAGGGACUCGUAUCAACGGCAUCACGAGGGUUACACUGUCUCCUUCCUCCAAUCAGUGAAACUGAUCUCCCCGUGAAGAAGCGGGGAUAAACUAAUAAGACGAGAAGACCCCAUGGAGCUUUAAAUCUCACUGCAACUCUAACACUUAAUUCCUCUACAACCCUCAGAGAAAUGCACGUCGGUUUUAGGUUGGGGUGACCGCGGAGUAAAAACUAUCCUCCACGACGAAAAGAACUAAAUCUUUAUCUAAGAGCAACCACUCUAAGAACUAGCAUACUAACGAAUAAUGACCCGAUAAUCGAUCAACGGACCAAGUUACCCUGGGGAUAACAGCGCAAUCUACUUCAAGAGCCCAUAUCGACAAGUAGGCUUACGACCUCGAUGUUGGAUCAGGGUACCCCAGUGGUGCAGCCGCUACUAACGGUUCGUUUGUUCAACGAU
RNAcentral lists this ribosomal RNA (522 nucleotides) under Rhacophorus reinwardtii (Reinwardt's flying frog). Its description in RNAcentral is "partial 16S ribosomal RNA". It matches the Rfam family "Bacterial large subunit ribosomal RNA", at positions 1850 to 2588 of the family's 2925-position model. The record is from RNAcentral. Lineage: Eukaryota; Metazoa; Chordata; Amphibia; Anura; Rhacophoridae.